This 807-nucleotide long non-coding RNA is filed under the name Gossypium barbadense (sea-island cotton). RNAcentral's name for it is "long non-coding RNA (GBAR_LNC014505)". The record is from RNAcentral. Lineage: Eukaryota; Viridiplantae; Streptophyta; Magnoliopsida; Malvales; Malvaceae.
AAAAUCAUUAUCCCCUUUGCCAUUUCUCGAAUGCGCCGCAGCUCUCCCCCUUUUCUCCGUCAUUUGGGUCCCCUUUUCCAACCAUCUACGGCGACGUGAGGGCACUCCGAUGUCGUCCCGAUGGUAAGUUUCCUCUCUACUCCUUCCCCCCGUUUAUUUGUUUUAAAAAAAAACCAGAGCCAAAAUGAAAAUAAAAGACAGUAAAAAGAAAAAAGGAAAAAAAACGAUUGGUCACCUUCAAAAAAAAUAUUUCUUUUUAUUCCUUGCUUCUGUGUUUUCCAACCCGAUUGUGCAACCCUUUUACAAAAAUCGAUUGGCUAUUUAUACAAGACUCUUUAAAAUUUUUCUUUUGUUGUAUCCCCCCGGUCUUACUAGUGCCGUUCGUGAUUUAUUUGUUGCAGGUACGUGGAAACGGUGAGGCUGCCAGACGUGGGUGAGGCGACGUGGACAGUUGCUGCGGAGGGAGAACGUGCGCGGCGCUGGGGGAGAAGGGUUAGGGUUUCUGGAAACAGUUUAGAAUUAGGUUAAUUGGGUUAGGCUAGAUUUGGGCUUGGGUUAAUAGGCUAUUAAUUUUAAAUUUGGGUCGCUGAAGCUAUAGGCUAAUUGGGCCUUGUAAUUGGACAAAACUUGUAAAUGGUUUUGGGCUGUUGUAAUAUGGACUGUUAUUUAUAUUUGGUUUUUUAGCCAGGCUAAAAUUGGCCUAUUACAUAUAUUAUUAUUAUUUUAUGUUCUACUGUAUGAUAGAAAUAUAGUAUAAAAAUUUCGUUAAGAAAUUUUAUCGUUUACAUACCUAAUUUGAUGAAAAAG